RNAcentral lists this ribosomal RNA (1481 nucleotides) under Pelobium manganitolerans. Its description in RNAcentral is "16S ribosomal RNA". It matches the Rfam family "Bacterial small subunit ribosomal RNA". Lineage: Bacteria; Pseudomonadati; Bacteroidota; Sphingobacteriia; Sphingobacteriales; Sphingobacteriaceae. The record is from RNAcentral.
AGAGUUUGAUCCUGGCUCAGGAUGAACGCUWKCGKCAGGCCUAAUACAUGCAAGUCGAGGGGUAUCCCGCUUUCGGGCGGGAGAGACCGGCGCACGGGUGCGUAACGCGUAUGCAACCUGCCCUUUUCUGGGGGAUAGCCCGGAGAAAUCCGGAUUAAUACCGCAUAAGACCACGCUAUGGCAUCAUAGAGGGGUCAAACAUUUAUGGGAAAAGGAUGGGCAUGCGUGCCAUUAGCUAGUUGGCGGGGUAACGGCCCACCAAGGCGACGAUGGCUAGGGGAUCUGAGAGGAUGGCCCCCCACACUGGUACUGAGACACGGACCAGACUCCUACGGGAGGCAGCAGUAAGGAAUAUUGGUCAAUGGGGGCAACCCUGAACCAGCCAUGCCGCGUGCAGGAAGACGGCCCUACGGGUUGUAAACUGCUUUUGCACGGGAACAAACCUCCCCCUGCGGGGGGAGCUGAGGGUACCGUGAGAAUAAGGAUCGGCUAACUCCGUGCCAGCAGCCGCGGUAAUACGGAGGAUCCGAGCGUUAUCCGGAUUUAUUGGGUUUAAAGGGAGCGUAGGCGGCCCUCUAAGUCAGGGGUGAAAGACGGCAGCUCAACUGUCGCAGUGCCCUUGAUACUGGGGGGCUUGAAUGCACCUGAGGCAGGCGGAAUGUGGCAAGUAGCGGUGAAAUGCAUAGAUAUGCCACAGAACACCGAUUGCGAAGGCAGCUUGCUAAAGUGCUAUUGACGCUGAGGCUCGAAAGCGUGGGGAUCGAACAGGAUUAGAUACCCUGGUAGUCCACGCCCUAAACGAUGAUGACUCGGUGCCGGCGAUAUACUGCCGGCGCCCAAGCGAAAGCGUUAAGUCAUCCACCUGGGGAGUACGCCCGCAAGGGUGAAACUCAAAGGAAUUGACGGGGGCCCGCACAAGCGGAGGAGCAUGUGGUUUAAUUCGAUGAUACGCGAGGAACCUUACCCGGGCUUGAAAGUUACUGAAUGGCCUAGAGAUAGGCCAGUCCUUCGGGACAGGAAACUAGGUGCUGCAUGGCUGUCGUCAGCUCGUGCCGUGAGGUGUUGGGUUAAGUCCCGCAACGAGCGCAACCCCUAUGUUUAGUUGCCAGCACGUKAAGGUGGGGACUCUAAACAGACUGCCCGCGCAAGCGGAGAGGAAGGCGGGGACGACGUCAAGUCAUCAUGGCCCUUACGUCCGGGGCUACACACGUGCUACAAUGGGCGGCACAGAGGGCAGCCACCCCGCAAGGGGGCGCCAAUCCCGCAAAGCCGCUCACAGUUCGGAUCGGGGCCUGCAACUCGGCCCCGUGAAGUUGGAUUCGCUAGUAAUCGCGUAUCAGCAAUGACGCGGUGAAUACGUUCCCGGGCCUUGUACACACCGCCCGUCAAGCCAUGGAAGCCGGGGGCGCCUAAAGUCCGUAGCCGCAAGGAUCGGCCUAGGGCGAAACUGGUAWCUAGGGCUAAGUCGUAACAAGGUAACC